CACGUAGGGUCCGAGCGUUGUCCGGAAUUACUGGGCGUAAAGCGCGCGCAGGCGGUUAGUCGCAUCGGCGGUGAAAGCCCCCCGCUUAACGGGGGAGGGUCCGUCGAGAUGGACUGACUGGAGGCAGGGAGAGGGCGGUGGAAUUCCGGGUGUAGUGGUGAAAUGCGUAGAGAUCCGGAGGAACACCAAAGGCGAAGGCAGUGUCCUGGGGAGUACCUGACGCUCAGGUGCGAAAGCCAGGGGAGCGAACGGG
This 253-nucleotide ribosomal RNA is filed under the name uncultured bacterium. Its description in RNAcentral is "partial 16S ribosomal RNA". It matches the Rfam family "Bacterial small subunit ribosomal RNA", at positions 524 to 776 of the family's 1533-position model. The record is from RNAcentral.